Molecule: ribosomal RNA, 480 nt
Filed under: uncultured bacterium
Lineage: Bacteria
Description: partial 16S ribosomal RNA
Rfam family: Bacterial small subunit ribosomal RNA
Source: RNAcentral
GAUGAACGCUGGCGGCGUGCCUAACACAUGCAAGUCGAACGGAGAUUCCGGACGGAAGUUUUCGGAUGGAAGCCUGUAAUUCUUAGUGGCGGACGGGUGAGUAACGCGUGGGCAACCUGCCCUAUACAGGGGGAUAGCAGCUGGAAACGGCUGGUAAGACCGCAUAAGUCGGUUAAAUCGCAUGAUUUGAUCGGGAAAUGAGCAAUCAGGUAUAGGAUGGGCCCGCGUCCGAUUAGCCAGUUGGCAGGGUAAAAGCCUACCAAAGCGACGAGCGGUAGCCGGACUGAGAGGUCGGACGGCCACAUUGGGACUGAGACACGGCCCAAACUCCUACGGAGGCAGCAGUGGGGGAUAUUGCACAAUGGAGGAAGCUCUGAUGCAGCGACGCCGCGUGAGUGAAGAAGUAUUUCGGUAUGUAAAGCUCUAUCAGCAGGGAAGAUGAUGACGGUACCUGACUAAGAAGCCCCGGCUAACUACGUG